GUAACGCGUGAGUAACCUGCCUUCAANAGGGGGAUAACAUUCUGAAAAGAAUGCUAAUACCGCAUGACAUAUCGGAACCACAUGGUUUUGAUAUCAAAGAUUUUAUCGCUUGAAGAUGGACUCGCGUCCGAUUAGUUAGUUGGUGAGGUAACGGCUCACCAAGACCGCGAUCGGUAGCCGGACUGAGAGGUUGAACGGCCACAUUGGGACUGAGACACGGCCCAGACUCCUACGGGAGGCAGCAUG
RNAcentral lists this ribosomal RNA (246 nucleotides) under uncultured bacterium. RNAcentral describes it as "partial 16S ribosomal RNA". It matches the Rfam family "Bacterial small subunit ribosomal RNA", at positions 110 to 353 of the family's 1533-position model. The record is from RNAcentral.